AUAGUCUCCAAGUCUCAGGUCCAACCUUGGACUUAUUUAGCGGUCGCCCAUUAGGUCCAGGGUUGGACCUGAGCCGUUUGCCGUAACUAUUGGUAAUCGAGUCUCCAAUCGAUUCUCGAAGCCCCUGUCAAGAACCAGGGCAGCCAUAGUGAUAUUAUUCUUUCGUUUUUUCUCGUUUACAUUUGUGGUUUUUUGCAGCGAAACAGCUUAAAUUAGGUAGUGUAGAUAGUAAAUUGAUAGAAGGGAUGGAUGACAAAGAGACUCAAAAUUCGCCUGUUUUGACUGCUAAAGAAUUGCAAGCAAGCUUUAAUUCUGAAGGUAAAGCAAAAAGUGACGUUUUAAGAAGAAGAAAUAUACGAGCUUCGAAAAGCCUGAAAGCCGGCAAAAGUUCUUGAAGAGUGGAUGGCGUUAAGCAGCGGCCUAGGAUUGAAAAGAAAUGUGAAGGAACAGCAGUCACAAUUCCAAACAAGGCUCCAAACAAGGCUCCAAACAAGGCUCCCCGUUUCCAGUCGUAUUAUAACCAGAUACCAUGUGAUAUCUUUACCAACAAUGAAAACAAUGAAGAGCCCAUGACUACAGAUACUGGGGUACCGUUCAUGCUGAAACAUGACUAUCAAGAAACGCAGACUGUUUGGAAGACUAGAAUGGAUACCCAACACCAACUGUGGAGUAAAAACAGAACUUCACUUCACCAGUCAAUCGUAGAAAGUUUGCCAUUAUGUAAACAAGCAGCAUGUUCGAACUGCCGUGGAGUAGGCUCAACGCCAGUUAAAUGUCAAACUUGCAGAACCUACCUGUGUGCUGCAUGUGACAAAAUUGUUCACAGCAAGACUGUUACACACCAGCGAGUAUGUGAAGUGAAAGACAGUCUUCAUCAAAUGCUUCCAACUGAAUUUCUAAAUGGUGUGGAUUCCUUGGAGACAAUAGACGUUCCUGUUCCGAUUCUGGAGCCAGUAGCGUGUGGUUCUUGCAAUUCAAUCGGUUCUGUAAGAGUGCACGCAGGUGCAACUAGAACUACUGUUGUAUCUACCUUAGGGCGAUUUGAUGUUAGCUCGUCAGCGUUCAAUUGCAACACCUGUGGAGCUGUUCGAGAGGCCACUUGUACAGAAUACAUUUGUUCUGGUUACUGGCCAGGAUCUUACAAUAGUAAUAAUUACUUUUUUGAGGAAAGUUUACUGCUGCUGUGGUUCCAUGUUCGACAAGAACUUCCUGGCUCCUCCCAGCACGGGUGGAUCACUGCGGUUGGGAACGUUUCCCAACAUCACCAAAGAAUCGGUACUGUCAACAGAAUUUUGUACAACAGAAGUCGCAAGGAGUUUGAAUACUUCCAUCACGUUGUGAAACGAGACAUUUUAUUUAGAUUUGCGCUUGGUUGCAAGGCAUGUGGAACCAGUCCACACGGACACCAUGCCGAUGCGUGCAUGAAGUUGUACAAUUUUGAUUCUGUUAACGAACGAAAUGGUGAGUCUCUCUUCAAAGAUGAAAUAAUGGUUUGUGACCAAGACCAACAAAAGCACGUCGAACUUAUAGAACAAAGAAUACCAAGGUCAGCUGGAAAUGCUACUUGUGGUAGGUCCAAAUUUAAAGCUGGCCGUUCCAAUGCCAGGAGAAAGGACACUAAAAAUGCUAAAGGAAUUGAGAUGAUGACUUGUACCCAUGGGGUAAUUAAGGGAAUGGCUAGCUUGGCUCAUGCUGAGACCUACAAGCACACGCAUUUACAACAGCUGAAAUCAGUUGAAUCAGGAGCUACCUUUUUUGCAACGAUGUUGUUUGUAAAUUCAAGCCUUUUUGUGAAAAAAUAGCACUAAUGUUUCCUGAGCGGAAAGAUUUUCAACGGGCUGCUAUUGCACAGAAGUGGUUUCUGUCAAGAUUCCAUGGACGAGCACACAGUUGGGAUUGCAGGGUUUUACACUUCGGUCAUUGGUUGAAUGGUGCUGCAGACUUUCUUGGUGAAGAACAAGAACAAUUAUUUGCAAUUCAAGGUAGAAGAGCUGCCACUUCCAAGCACAUGAGCUUAUCUG
RNAcentral lists this unclassified non-coding RNA (2021 nucleotides) under Daphnia magna. RNAcentral's name for it is "uncharacterized LOC116934774, transcript variant X2". The record is from RNAcentral. Lineage: Eukaryota; Metazoa; Arthropoda; Branchiopoda; Diplostraca; Daphniidae.